RNAcentral lists this transfer RNA (72 nucleotides) under Ovis aries (sheep). It matches the Rfam family "tRNA". Rfam says of the family: Transfer RNA (tRNA) molecules are approximately 80 nucleotides in length. Their secondary structure includes four short double-helical elements and three loops (D, anti-codon, and T loops). Further hydrogen bonds mediate the characteristic L-shaped molecular structure. tRNAs have two regions of fundamental functional importance: the anti-codon, which is responsible for specific mRNA codon recognition, and the 3' end, to which the tRNAs corresponding amino acid is attached (by aminoacyl-tRNA synthetases). tRNAs cope with the degeneracy of the genetic code in two manners: having more than one tRNA (with a specific anti-codon) for a particular amino acid; and 'wobble' base-pairing, i.e. permitting non-standard base-pairing at the 3rd anti-codon position. Lineage: Eukaryota; Metazoa; Chordata; Mammalia; Artiodactyla; Bovidae. The record is from Rfam by way of RNAcentral.
UCCCUGGUGGCUCAGAUGGUAAAGCAUCUGCCUACAAUGUGGGAGACCCAGGUUCAAACCCUGGGUUGGGAA